RNA transcript from Silurus meridionalis, 1969 nucleotides. It is a transcript of the gene named ISL LIM homeobox 2a, with no coding region annotated. The record is from RefSeq and is a predicted model, not a curated record. The transcript has 7 exons. NCBI's taxonomy places the organism in Eukaryota, Metazoa, Chordata, Actinopteri, Siluriformes, Siluridae.
CGACUACAAGUUCUUGGUGUGCUCGGGCCGCUGCCCCACUCCCAGUGUGUCCCCUCAUCUGUAGCAGUGCGCGCUGACCCUCCUUUAUGCUGGAUAUUCUACUUCAUUCUUCUUUCUUGGGUGAUAUGGGGGAUCAUUCAAAAAAGAAGACCGGGAUCGCCAUGUGUGUCGGCUGCGGAAGUCAGAUCCAUGACCAGUAUAUCCUGCGGGUCUCCCCGGACCUGGAGUGGCACGCGGCUUGCUUGAAGUGCGCAGAGUGCAGUCAGUACCUGGACGAGACCUGCACUUGCUUCGUCCGGGACGGCAAGACCUAUUGCAAAAGAGACUACGUAAGGUUAUUCGGUAUUAAAUGUGCAAAAUGUAACGUGGGCUUCUGCAGUAGUGACCUGGUGAUGCGAGCUCGAGACAACGUUUAUCACAUGGAGUGUUUCAGGUGCUCGGUGUGCAGCAGGCACCUCCUGCCGGGAGAUGAGUUCUCUCUGCGGGAAGAGGAGCUGCUGUGCCGCGCUGAUCACGGACUGCUGCUGGAGCGCGCUGCGUCGGGAAGUCCACCGAUCAGCCCCGGUAACACACACUCCACCAGAGCCCUGCACAUGGCCGAGCCGGUGGUACCUGUGCGGCAGCCCCCACACCGCAACCACGUCCACAAGCAGUCGGAGAAGACGACCCGCGUCCGCACCGUGCUCAACGAGAAGCAGUUGCACACACUGCGCACGUGCUACAACGCCAACCCGCGACCUGACGCGCUCAUGAAGGAGCAGUUGGUGGAGAUGACGGGCCUCAGUCCGCGAGUUAUCCGCGUCUGGUUCCAGAACAAACGCUGCAAGGACAAGAAGCGGUCCAUCCUCAUGAAGCAACUCCAGCAGCAGCAGCACAGCGACAAAACUAAUCUCCAAGGCCUAACAGGGACACCUCUGGUGGCAGGUAGUCCCAUCCGGCAUGAUAACACCAUGCAGGGGAAUCCAGUAGAAGUUCAAACCUACCAGCCGCCGUGGAAAGCGCUGAGCGAGUUCGCGCUACAGAGUGACCUGGAGCAGCCUGCCUUUCAACAGCUGAUUGACCUGUGAUAGUGAAGGAACAUGAAUGAAAACUCUUGAAAAUAUCUUGAUCUGCAAUGGAAAAGUCUGCUUCGUUUUGUUUUAUAGGGUGUCCUUCUCUGAGUCGGGUUCUCUGGGCACCUCCUCGGGCAGUGAUGUGACUUCGCUGUCAUCGCAGUUACCCGACACCCCCAACAGCAUGGUGUCCAGUCCUGUGGAGACGUGAUGGAGUCUAUGUGACCUCUGUCCACCCCAGCAUGCUGAACCCCACCCUGAUCUGCAUGAACACAGAGCACCUCACCAUGGCCACCUCCACCUGAGGAACACGACGGGAAUCACAGAAAGCGACAUACAGCAACACAGUGGAUUAAACUCGGAACGCACAAAAAUAGAUCUGGCAAAAAAAAACAAAAAACCUUAAUAAAUAAAACAACAAAAAGAUGAAGAAACAAACAAAAAAGAAAACACGGAGCCAAACCACAGGGACUCUCUACACACGUUUACUUCAGGAAUCCACACGGAUCCGAGAUGUUCCCGCGGAUUAUGAACAAGUUGACCCACUGUCAACUACAUAACAAAUAACAAUAAUGUCUUUACCAGUAUUCAUUAUGUAGUUUUAUCAACACCUGAUGACAUUUUCCCCAAUAUCAGUGAGACAUCAGAGCCACGUCUGUCUUUAAUGCGCAUGAUCUCCGAAGACAAUGUAUAAAAAGUGACAUGUAAACUAUUUUAUCUUUACGGAUGGAGGACUAAUUGUUUGAACUUCUCGAGAGAAAAAAAAGUAAGUUAUUGUUAUUUAUUGUCGGGACUAGUUAGUCCGAACGAGAAUUGAGAAAUGACCUUAAUAAACUAUGCUAAGUGUUGUUUAUGUCUGAGAAACAAAAAAACCUUUGCAUGCAUAUUUUUUAACAUAAAAAUGACCAAAAACAAAA